CUGGGUUAUAGACAAUUCUCCUGCCUCUUUAAGUUGUAAAACAGCCUCAGUUUAAGAACUGGAAUUUCAGGUGCAAGAUAAAAAUGGAACGUUUCAAUUUCACCCAACGGUUGAACUAAAACCUCUGAGUUUUGACCUGUUGAUGGCUUCCUGACUGCAAGGAAAGGGGCGUGGCCAGUUCCUGCUUUCUCUUCCUUCAUCUUCUACGCAGUCUCAACUUCUCAUCCCUUCCUAGCUAGUGUUCUGCUCCUUUCAGGGCAGGGGUUGUGUGUGUGAGGGGCAGGGGUGUGUGUGGUAAGGGAAUGGGGCAGUUCUUUCUAGACUGGGAGGUUUGUGUUCUUUGAGUCUGGCAGAUGUUUAAAGCUUACUCUUUGGAGAGUCCAAUCAAUGCCAUUCUUUUGGCCCAGGAAGAUGCAUCUUAACUGUGAGGGGUUAUUUUCUACUCUUUCAUAGCCUCUAGGAACCUGGUCUUCUUCCUCAGCUUCUUGUUGCUGGAAUGGAUCACUGAACCUUCUAGAAACCCCCACUGGGCAGAACCCAAGACAACCCUUCUCUGAUUUUUCUCUUGUGGUUUACAGGGGUCCCUGGGAAACACUCGAGCAUCUCUCAUUCCAGCAGGUUUUAAAAGUGUGGACUGAACCCAGAAGAACACCCUCUAUCCUGUUUUCCCAGACCAAGCACUUUAGUUUUCUCAGGUAAACAAACAAAUGAAAGAGAAGGAAAUUGCAGAUAGUAAUCAGCUGCAUGAAGAAAUGAGGUCGGGUUGAUGGGACAGAGAGGCCCAGGGAAAGAAGAGCUAAUUUAGAAUGUGUGAUCUGAGAAGGCAUCUAGCUCUGAGAAGGUGGCAGUUUGAGCUGCGGCCUGAAGGACACCAGUUUCGCCAAGAUCCGGGGUCUAUGGAUUCCAUGUAGAGAUAUACACAGUAUUUGGAUAUUCUGCCAUUUGUUCCGUGAUGCUCGCCUGCCCGUAACUCCAGGAAGGGACAGAAUUACAGUCCACAUGGGUCUCACAUGACUGCCAAUGCUGACUAGACAUGUAAUACAGGUCAGACACAAAGGCAGUGAAUACAAGGGCUGACCGGUAAGUUUUUGUGUGUGGUCUGACUCAUAUGAGUGAGUUAUGCCAAUCAGAUUUUGUCUCUGUUUGCCAAUCAGAUUUUGCCAAUCAGCUUCAACCAAGCCACCGAGUCUUGCCAGUCAUUAAUGGACAUUGGUGUUGGAAAGUUUUAGAGUCAGGGGGUUGUGGUGGCAGCCACCGGGGCCACAUGUCAGUUGUUGAGAGGGUAGUAAAUGUUUAAAUGUUAAAUAAGCUUGCAUUUAACUUUUUUACUUCAAUUCUUUUAAGUGUGUAACCAGAGAAGUCACAAUUAGAAUAGAAAUUGGUACCAGGAGUGGGGUUCAAACCGAUAGAGCCUCAACACAGGAGACUAGCUAUGGUAUUAUCGAGAUGAUAUACGAUAAAAAAUUGUUUUCAUUACAGGAUAGGAAAUUUGCAGUCUGUGAUUUUUGGUGGAAAAACAACGAAUUAGGUCGGCAUCUGCUAUCCCUUGAGACUCAGGCCAUAUGCAUACCAAAGGUGAAGCUUUGGGAGGCUUGAUGCCUGAAUGUAAGGAUAAUGAAGCAGAUUAUUUAUUGCUUACAACCUAAGAUAAUGGCCAGCAGCAAAGAGACAGUUUCUGUCAAGAAUGCCUGUCUGUGAGCAACUAAGAAAAACAGGGGGAUUAUGUAACUCUGGUGCAGAAAGCCCAUUUUGCCUGUAGCUGGAGCUCUCUGAUUGCUUACAGCCGAGUCCAGAAACCAAACCGUGGUCUUGCCAAACUGUGGUCUGGUCCUAAUUUUCCGUCUCAUUGAAUUUCUAGUGCCAAAGUUAAAGCUCUGAUUGACAAAGAUGGAUGUCCAGGCCAUUGGAAAAGAAUUCUUUGGGAGGAGGAGUUGCUGGGGAACAUGACGCCCCUCAAUGCCCCUCCCAGGCAUUUCUCACUCCAUCUUCCCCGCAAAACAAGGAGACUCUUCCCACUGAGAGGCAAGUCUCACAGGGAGGGUGGGAGUACGGAUAAGGAAGACCGAGGAGGAAAGACAUUCCACUUGAGGUUACAGCCUUUCUGUGCCAUGAGGCAUCGGCUAUUAAGAAAAGGACAGUCAGAUGGAAGAAGCUAAUCCUGGGUUCUAAACAGCAAAAGAUUUGGGAGCCUGGUCCUCAGGAUUCAUUUGGGCUGUUAAGAAUAGGCGGUCUUCUAAGGACAUUGGCUUUACCGUGUCAGCCAGGGGUCCUCUGUUGCUAUAGGAUUUGACAUACGCUUGGACCAGGAGCCACUGUGUGGUUCUUGCCCCAGAGAUCUCUUCUUGCCUCCAUUUUUUUUUCUUUCCUCUACUUUUCUGAGUGAUUCUCCCCCGCCUCCCCC
This is a long non-coding RNA of Felis catus (domestic cat), 2401 nucleotides long. RefSeq lists it as uncharacterized. The record is from RefSeq and is a predicted model, not a curated record. Lineage: Eukaryota; Metazoa; Chordata; Mammalia; Carnivora; Felidae. The transcript is spliced from 3 exons.